RNAcentral lists this ribosomal RNA (464 nucleotides) under uncultured bacterium. RNAcentral describes it as "partial 16S ribosomal RNA". It matches the Rfam family "Bacterial small subunit ribosomal RNA", at positions 338 to 795 of the family's 1533-position model. The record is from RNAcentral.
CCUACGGGUGGCAGCAGUAGGGAAUUUUCGGCAAUGGGGGGAACCCUGACCGAGCAACGCCGCGUGAAGGAAGAAGGAAUUCGUUCUGUAAACUUCUUUUAUAAAGGAAGAAAGACGGAUGUAGUAAAUGACAUCCGAGUGACGGUACUUUAUGAGAAAGCCACGGCUAACUACGUGCCAGCAGCCGCGGUAAUACGUAGGAUGCGAGCGUUAUCCGGAUUUAUUGGGUUUAAAGGGUGCGCAGUCGGGAGAUCAAGUCAGCGGUAAAAUGUCGGGGCUAAACCCCGGCCGGCCGUUGAAACUGGUUUUCUAGAGUUGGAGAGAAGUAUGCGGAAUUCGAGGUGUAGCGGUGAAAUGCAUAGAUAUCACGAAGAACUCCGAUUGCGAAGGCAGCAUACCGGCUCCAUACUGACGCUGAGGCACGAAAGCGUGGGGAUCGAACAGGAUUAGAUACCCCUGUAGUC